GUGGGGAAUUUUGGACAAUGGGCGCAAGCCUGAUCCAGCAAUGCCGCGUGCAGGAAGAAGGCCUUCGGGUUGUAAACUGCUUUUGUACGGAACGAAACGGUCCUGGUUAAUACCUGGGGCUAAUGACGGUACCGUAAGAAUAAGCACCGGCUAACUACGUGCCAGCAGCCGCGGUAAUACGUAGGGUGCGAGCGUGAAUCGGAAUUACUGGGCGUAAAGUGUGCGCAGGCGGUGCUGUAAGACAGGCGUGAAAUACCCGGGCUCAACCUGGGAAUUGCGCUUGUGACUGUAGUGCUGGGGUACGGCAGAGGGGGAUGGAAUUCCGCGUGUAGCAGUGAAAUGCGUAGAUAUGCGGAGGAACACCGAUGGCGAAGGCAGUCCCCUGGGCCUGUACUGACGCUCAUGCACGAAAGCGUGGGGAGCAAACAGGAUUAGAAACCCUGGUAGUCC
RNAcentral lists this ribosomal RNA (450 nucleotides) under uncultured bacterium. RNAcentral describes it as "partial 16S ribosomal RNA". It matches the Rfam family "Bacterial small subunit ribosomal RNA", at positions 354 to 796 of the family's 1533-position model. The record is from RNAcentral.